AAAUUGCGAUAACUAGUGUGAAUUGCAUUUUCAGUGAAUCAUCGAGUCUUUGAACGCAUCUUGCGCUCUUGGGAUUCUUCCCUAGAGCACACUUGCUUCAGUAUCAUAACAAAACCCUCACCUAAUAUUUUUUUUUUUUAAAAAAAAAAUAUUAGAGUG
Molecule: ribosomal RNA, 159 nt
Filed under: Rhizopus circinans
Lineage: Eukaryota; Fungi; Mucoromycota; Mucoromycetes; Mucorales; Rhizopodaceae
Description: partial 5.8S ribosomal RNA
Rfam family: 5.8S ribosomal RNA (bases 1-106)
About the family: 5.8S ribosomal RNA (5.8S rRNA) is a component of the large subunit of the eukaryotic ribosome.
Source: RNAcentral